GAUGAACGCUGGCGGCGUGCCUAAUACGUGCAAGUCGAGCGAACAGACGAGGAGCUUGCUCCUCUGACGUUAGCGGCGGACAGGUGAGUAACACGUGGAUAACCUACCUAUAAGACUGGGAUAACUUCGGGAAACCGGAGCUAAUACCGGAUAAUAUAUUGAACCGCAUGGUUCAAUAGUGAAAGACGGUUUUGCUGUCACUUAUAGAUGGAUCCGCGCCGCAUUAGCUAGUUGGUAAGGUAACGGCUUACCAAGGCGACGAUGCGUAGCCGACCUGAGAGGGUGAUCGGCCACACUGGAACUGAGACACGGUCCAGACUCCUACGGGAGGCAGCAGUAGGGAAUCUUCCGCAAUGGGCGAAAGCCUGACGGAGCAACGCCGCGUGAGUGAUGAAGGUCUUCGGAUCGUAAAACUCUGUUAUUAGGGAAGAACAAAUGUGUAAGUAACUAUGCACGUCUUGACGGUACCUAAUCAGAAAGCCACGGCUAACUACGUG
RNAcentral lists this ribosomal RNA (497 nucleotides) under uncultured bacterium. RNAcentral's name for it is "partial 16S ribosomal RNA". It matches the Rfam family "Bacterial small subunit ribosomal RNA", at positions 28 to 507 of the family's 1533-position model. The record is from RNAcentral.